RNAcentral lists this ribosomal RNA (693 nucleotides) under uncultured bacterium. RNAcentral's name for it is "bacterial SSU rRNA". It matches the Rfam family "Bacterial small subunit ribosomal RNA", at positions 1 to 692 of the family's 1533-position model. The record is from RNAcentral.
UGGGCCCGUUUGAUCAUGGCUCAGAUUGAACGCUGGCGGCAUGCUUUACACAUGCAAGUCGAACGGGGUGGGGGGCAACUCCCAUUCAGUGGCGAACGGGUGAGUAAUGCAUCGGAACGUGUCCCGUAGAGGGGGAUAACUCGGCGAAAGCCGUGCUAAUACCGCAUAUGCUCUACGGAGGAAAGUGGGGGACCUGCAAGGGCCUCACGCUAUGGGAGCGGCCGAUGUCCGAUUAGCUUGUUGGUGGGGUAAUGGCCUACCAAGGCUACGAUCGGUAGCUGGUCUGAGAGGAUGAUCAGCCACACUGGGACUGAGACACGGCCCAGACUCCUACGGGAGGCAGCAGUGGGGAAUUUUGGACAAUGGGGGCAACCCUGAUCCAGCCAUGCCGCGUGCGGGAAGAAGGCCUUCGGGUUGUAAACCGCUUUUAGCCGGGAAGAAAAGGCUGCCUUGAACAGGGGCGGUUUUUGACGGUACCGGCGGAAUAAGCACCGGCUAACUACGUGCCAGCAGCCGCGGUAAUACGUAGGGUGCGAGCGUUAAUCGGAAUUACUGGGCGUAAAGCGUGCGCAGGCGGUUCGUUGUGUCUGUCGUGAAAGCCCCGGGCUUAACCUGGGAACUGCGAUGGAAACUGGCGAGCUUGAGUGUGGCAGAGGGGGGGGUGGAACUCCUGGUGUAGCAGUGAAAUGCGUA